GACUACUUAUAUUGCUUACAAAUAAUUUCAGACUAGAAUGUCAUAAUUUCAAUCUAUAAUAUUAUAAUUUUGAUUCAAAAUAUCAUAACCUAUAUUCAGGAAUGUUUUCUACCUAUAGAAUGCCAUAAUUUUAAUCUAGAAUGCAUAAUUUUGAGUCAAAAUAACAUAAAAUUAUCAAAAAGUAUACUUAAAAAGUAUUUUACCUGUAAGAUAUCAUAAUAUUAAUAUAAAAUAUCAUAAUUUUAAUUUAAGAUAUCAUAAUAUUAUUAAAAUUA
Molecule: long non-coding RNA, 275 nt
Filed under: Elaeis guineensis (African oil palm)
Lineage: Eukaryota; Viridiplantae; Streptophyta; Magnoliopsida; Arecales; Arecaceae
Description: long non-coding RNA (EGUI_LNC013301)
Source: RNAcentral